AGCGAACGCUGGCGGCAGGCCUAACACAUGCAAGUCGAACGAACUCUUCGGAGUUAGUGGCGGACGGGUGAGUAACACGUGGGAACGUGCCUUUUGGUUCGGAAUAACUCAUGGAAACUUGUGCUAAUACCGAAUGUGCCCUUCGGGGGAAAGAUUUAUCGCCAUUAGAGCGGCCCGCGUCUGUUUAGCUAGUUGGUGAGGUAACGGCUCACCAAGGCGACGAUCAGUAGCUGGUCUGAGAGGAUGGCCAGCCACACUGGGACUGAGACACGGCCCAGACUCCUACGGGAGGGAGCAGUGGGGAAUCGUGCGCAAUGGGCGAAAGCCUGACGCAGCCAUGCCGCGUGAAUGAUGAAGGUCUUAGGAUUGUAAAAUUCUUUCACCGGGGACGAUAAUGACGGUACCCGGAGAAGAAGCCCCGGCUAACUUCGUG
This 433-nucleotide ribosomal RNA is filed under the name uncultured bacterium. RNAcentral describes it as "partial 16S ribosomal RNA". It matches the Rfam family "Bacterial small subunit ribosomal RNA", at positions 29 to 507 of the family's 1533-position model. The record is from RNAcentral.